RNAcentral lists this ribosomal RNA (482 nucleotides) under uncultured bacterium. Its description in RNAcentral is "partial 16S ribosomal RNA". It matches the Rfam family "Bacterial small subunit ribosomal RNA", at positions 28 to 523 of the family's 1533-position model. The record is from RNAcentral.
GACGAACGCUGGCGGCGUGCUUAACACAUGCAAGUCGAACGAUGAAGCCCAGCUUGCUGGGUGGAUUAGUGGCGAACGGGUGAGUAACACGUGGGCAACCUGCCCCAAACUCUGGGAUAACUCCUCGAAAGAGGUGCUAAUACCGGAUACGAACUAGGUAGACAUCUGCACUAGUUGGAAAGUUUUUCGGUUUGGGAUGGGCCCGCGGCCUAUCAGCUUGUUGGUGGGGUAACGGCUCACCAAGGCUACGUCGGGGAACCGGCCUGAGAGGGGGACCGGUCACACUGGGACUGAGACACGGCCCAGACUCCUACGGGAGGCAGCAGUGGGGAAUAUUGCGCAAUGGGCGAAAGCCUGACGCAGCGACGCCGCGUGAGGGAUGAAGGUCUUCGGAUCGUAAACCUCUUUCAGUAGGGACGAAGCGAAAGUGACGGUACCUAAAGAAGAAGCACCGGCUAACUACGUGCCAGCCGCCGCCGUAA